This is a long non-coding RNA of Oryza brachyantha (malo sina), 943 nucleotides long. RefSeq lists it as uncharacterized. The transcript is spliced from 3 exons. The record is from RefSeq and is a predicted model, not a curated record. NCBI's taxonomy places the organism in Eukaryota, Viridiplantae, Streptophyta, Magnoliopsida, Poales, Poaceae.
UCGAAUUAAUUUGGAUCAUCCUAUUUUUAUUAAUAUCCUCCGUUUAAUCAGCCAUUUGAAAAGAAAAAACAGAUCGAUCGCAGAUCCAUCCAACCAGAUCGAGCGAUCCAGCCAAUAAAAGUAAGGAUAUCGAUCCAACAGAUCGAUCUAGCCCUAGCUGCUGUCGUGGCCGCCCAUGCCACUGGCCGCCUCCGUGGCCGUGCCGUUACCGUACCGUCGUAUCUCUACUUUUGUCUUGUCUCGCUGCCGUAGAAGAGGAGAAAGAGGAGAAGGAAUUUGGGAUUGUUGGGGAAUUCCUUAAAUUCUCGCGAGCUGUAGAGAGUUCAAACUUGAGAAGCGUUGAGCCAAGUUAUCGCCAUAGAUGAGGCAAGUGCACGAGGAACUUAUAUGAUUGAUAUGGGAUGACUGAAAUGGUACCAAAUAUCACCGGCAUGCAUGGGCAGCAUGCAUACUCGACACUUAUACACACCUCUAGCUCUAAUCUAGUUUCAGUAUAUUUUAACAAAUAACCUUGUGAUUAGAUGAUCUCGUAUAAUAUGACACCGUGAGGUUUGGGAUCUAGUGAGGUUUUGUAUGUUUUGUGUAGCAUUCCAGGUUUGUGAAAACCCAGGGUGUUACAAAGAGAGACGAAGAAGGCGGCCACAAUGGGUCAGAGAACUAUGAUAGUGGUAGAGCUAUCGAAAGAGUUAGAGAUGGAGGCACCAGCGGCCAUGAUGGAAAGAGCACCAAAUAGAGGUUCUGGUGAAAGAUGGAAAGGCACAUCCUUGGAGGAGAGAGGCUAAGGGGAGAAGGACUGAUGGACAUAGAUACUAGUUUUGGUGUCGCUUAGCUAUUUUAAAAAUAGUAUUGUCAAUUUACAAAUAAAAGUUUCAAUAUUGUUAUCAUUGUUAGCUUUUAAUUAAGUUGAUCUAGCAGUAUUUUUAGUGAUAAUAUUAAAUGAACG